This 742-nucleotide ribosomal RNA is filed under the name uncultured bacterium. RNAcentral's name for it is "bacterial SSU rRNA". It matches the Rfam family "Bacterial small subunit ribosomal RNA", at positions 8 to 796 of the family's 1533-position model. The record is from RNAcentral.
AGAGUUUGAUCCUGGCUCAGAACGAACGCUGGCGGCAGGCUUAACACAUGCAAGUCGAGCGGGCCCUUUGGGGUCAGCGGCGGACGGGUUAGUAACGCGUGGGAACGUGCCCUUUGCUCCGGAAUAGCCCUGGGAAACCGGGGGUAAUACCGGAUGUGCCCCGAGGGGGAAAGGUUUACCGGCAAGGGAUCGGCCCGCGUCUGAUUGGGUAGUUGGUGGGGUAAUGGCCUACCAAGCCUACGAUCGGUAGCUGGUUUGAGAGGAUGAUCAGCAACACUGGGACUGAGACACGGCCCAGACUCCUACGGGAGGCAGCAGUGGGGAAUCUUAGACAAUGGGCGAAAGCCUGAUCUAGCCAUGCCGCGUGGGUGAUGAAGGCCUUAGGGUCGUAAAGCCCUUUCGCCGGGGAAGAUAAUGACGGUACCCGGUAAAGAAACCCCGGCUAACUCCGUGCCAGCAGCCGCGGUAAUACGGAGGGGGUUAGCGUUGUUCGGAAUGACUGGGCGUAAAGCGCGCGUAGGCGGAUCGCAAAGUUGGGGGUGAAAGCCCAGGGCUCAACCCUGGAAUUGCCUUCAAGACUCGCGGUCUGGAGUUCGAGAGAGGUGGGUGGAAUUCCGAGUGUAGAGGUGAAAUUCGUAGAUAUUCGGAGGAACACCAGUGGCGAAGGCGGCCCACUGGCUCGACACUGNNNCUGAGNNNNGAAAGCGCGGGGAGCAAACAGGAUUAGAUACCCUAGUAGUCC